CAGCAGCCGCGGGAACACGAAGGGGGCUAGCGUUGUUCGGAUUAACUGGGCGUAAAGGGCGCGUAGGCGGGUUUUUAAGUCAGAGGUGAAAUCCCAAGGCUCAACCUUGGAACUGCCUUUGAUACUGGAAGUCUUGAGUCCGGGAGAGGUGAGUGGAACUGCGAGUGUAGAGGUGAAAUUCGUAGAUAUUCGCAAGAACACCAGUGGCGAAGGCGGCUCACUGGCCCGGUACUGACGCUGAGGCGCGAAAGCGUGGGGAGCAAACAGGAUUAGAUACCCCCGUAGUCCCUGUCUCUUAUAA
Molecule: ribosomal RNA, 301 nt
Filed under: uncultured bacterium
Lineage: Bacteria
Description: partial 16S ribosomal RNA
Rfam family: Bacterial small subunit ribosomal RNA
Source: RNAcentral